GGGAGACAUUAAAGAAUAUGUUGUUGUUUUAUUUUUUAUUUUUUUAUUUUUAUUUUUUAGAACAAAAGAUUUAACUUAAAACUGUAUAAUUUGGCCAACAUAUUUAAUUAAUAAAAUAGAUAAAAUAAAUAUUAAAAGUUAACCAAUACAAAGGAAAUAACUUAUCUUUUGGGGAAUCUAAUUAAGUUAGUUAAAAAUUAUAAAGUUAGAGUUAAAUAACAAACAAUAAAUAAUCACAAUUAAAUAAUUAAAGAGUAAGAGAGAAAUUGAAUUUGGGCCUCCUUUGGGCCAAUUUCGCUGGAUUUUUUUGGGUUAUAACCCAAUCCCGUUUUUGGUAUACGGUGGAUGUAUAUCAGUGUAUAUGAGCGUAUAUAUUAGCUCUUUUCAGGUAUUUCUUGCUUCCAAACAUAUGUAUUCCGCCUCAGCCCUGUAUUUCUGCGUUUUU
RNAcentral lists this long non-coding RNA (445 nucleotides) under Solanum tuberosum (potato). RNAcentral's name for it is "long non-coding RNA (STUB_LNC007167)". The record is from RNAcentral. Lineage: Eukaryota; Viridiplantae; Streptophyta; Magnoliopsida; Solanales; Solanaceae.